RNAcentral lists this long non-coding RNA (698 nucleotides) under Vigna radiata. RNAcentral's name for it is "long non-coding RNA (VRAD_LNC001118)". Lineage: Eukaryota; Viridiplantae; Streptophyta; Magnoliopsida; Fabales; Fabaceae. The record is from RNAcentral.
GUUGAGGAAAUGGAAUGACAAGGUUAGUAUACAAGAAAAGAGUUAUCAGGGUUUUGUUAAGUCAUGGAAGGUUUGAAGAAGGCUCUUCAAGGGUGAUCAUCUUUGGGUUGCAAUUGUUGUGAAGGAAGUGUCAUUUCAACAAACUAGUGAGCAAAGAGGUUUGAAGAUCAGAGUAGCGCAGCGGAUGUUAGUGGGCUUGUUCUUAUCAGUACCCAGUGUAUGUGAAGCAUUUUUCAAGGUCAGGUGUUGACAAUUAUGUGAAAAGAGCUUCUUUAAAACAACAGGGACGUCAUUACCUAGGGCAUCAGUUAGGAGUGUUUGGUAAUUCUCAAGAGUCAGAAGUGAGUUGAGCAUGGAAGAAAUAGGUAUCAGCCAGAAAAGAUAAGUGUGGUUUCAAGCUACAGGGUCAACUUUCAAGUGAGGAAGUAUUAAUGGAUCUGGAACAGGAAGAGUGGAUCGGUGGACGAAGGAGAUGACUCGAGCUAUGGUUUCGAGUUGUAGUGUUAACCUUGAGGUAAGGAAGUGUUAACUGAUGGUUUGAAUUAAAGAGAAGAUUCAGGUUCUUGAUUUGAUAAGGAUUGAGUAAGAGUUGGUUGAAGGAUAUGAAGUUUGGGAUCUUUAGUGAAGUUGUAAAGUGAUUUCAUUAGUAUAGUUGAAAUACUAUAACUAAUGGGUUUCUCAAGAUGGUUAAGAAAGCA